CGUAGGGGGCGAGCGUUGUCCGGAUUUACUGGGCGUAAAGCGCGCGUAGGCGGCUCGUUAAGUCGGUGGUGAAAUCCCGGGGCUCAACCCCGCGGACUGCCUCCGAUACUGGCGGGCUCGAGGAAGGUAGGGGAGAGUGGAAUUCCUGGUGUAGCGGUGAAAUGCGCAGAUACCAGGAGGAACACCGGUGGCGAAGGCGGCUCUCUGGGCCUGUCCUGACGCUGAGGCGCGAAAGCUAGGGGAGCAAACAGGAUUAGAUACCCUGGUAGUCCUAGCCGUAAACGUUGGGUGCUAGGUGUGGGCCGGCGAUCGACCCGGUCUGUGCCGAAGCUAACGCAUUAAGCACCCCGCCUGGGGAGUACGGCCGCAAGGCUA
RNAcentral lists this ribosomal RNA (375 nucleotides) under uncultured organism. Its description in RNAcentral is "bacterial SSU rRNA". It matches the Rfam family "Bacterial small subunit ribosomal RNA", at positions 526 to 896 of the family's 1533-position model. The record is from RNAcentral.